CAAUGGAAAAACAUGUCGCACAACUCCAAAUACUACGUAAAAAAGAUUCCUAAGAAACAAACUGGCACAACGAAAACGGCACCAGGUCAGACAUCUUGGUUCGGAUUCUAGUUUCAGGAUUGGAAACGAAAUCCUCAGCUGGAUCUGUAUCAGGAAUUCCAAGCGGAUCUGGUUCUUAGGCAGAGUUUUCCUGCGAUGAACUACAUGGUUGGAUUAGGCCGCAUCAUUCCAAGUAGUACUGCCAGUGUAGAGAGGAUCUUCAGUACCAUGAACUCCCUGUGCACAUCCUCACGCAGCAGAAUGAGUCAGUCGCUGUUGGACUCCCUCAUGAGAAUCUGCACCC
This is a long non-coding RNA of Dreissena polymorpha, 343 nucleotides long. RefSeq lists it as uncharacterized. NCBI's taxonomy places the organism in Eukaryota, Metazoa, Mollusca, Bivalvia, Myida, Dreissenidae. The record is from RefSeq and is a predicted model, not a curated record. The transcript is spliced from 3 exons.